CAACGCUGCUCCGUGGCUCACAGCUUUGUAUUUUCUAAAUGGCACAGUGGGUUGUUGUCUGUCCAGACAACACAACAGUGGCCCCACAGGAUGCAGGCUUCGACCACCAUAAGCCACAGGUCUCACCCUCCCUUCUUGCUCCUGCGCCAGCACUGCUCCCAAUCCAGAAUGGCUGGCAUCCACCUCAAAAAUAAAAGGCAGAGAAAAAUCAGCAAAUGCUAGAGUGGGCGCACUUACGAGGCGGGACUUCAGCUCCGUAAAGCACUCCUCACACUCCUCACACCAGGCAUCACUCAAGACAGGUCCCUUUACCCUUCUUGUUGUUAGGGCCAGCCAGCUCUGUGGUCAGCCACAUGUAGGUGGAGGGUGGCUACUAGAGUCUCUCUGUGGGCCUUCUCUGAUUGUCAGCUUGCCAUUGCUGCUCAAUUGAGUUUAUUUUUUAUCCAUGUCCGGGUACAAACCGUUUUUAAGAAGACUGAACAGAAAUAAAUAAAGGCCCUGUUUUUCUCUA
Molecule: long non-coding RNA, 511 nt
Organism: Nothobranchius furzeri (turquoise killifish)
Lineage: Eukaryota; Metazoa; Chordata; Actinopteri; Cyprinodontiformes; Nothobranchiidae
Source: RefSeq, a predicted model, not a curated record